UACGGGAGGCAGCAGUAGGGAAUUUUCGGCAAUGGGCGCAAGCCUGACCGAGCAACGCCGCGUGAGUGAUGAAGUAUUUCGGUACGUAAAGCUCUAUCAGCAGGGAAGAUAAUGACGGUACCUGAUUAAGAAGCCCCGGCUAACUACGUGCCAGCAGCCGCGGUAAU
This 167-nucleotide ribosomal RNA is filed under the name uncultured rumen bacterium. RNAcentral's name for it is "partial 16S ribosomal RNA". It matches the Rfam family "Bacterial small subunit ribosomal RNA", at positions 340 to 524 of the family's 1533-position model. The record is from RNAcentral.